UUAAGUUCAGCGGGUAUCCCUACCUGAUCCGAGGUCAGCUGGUGUAAAGAUUUAACGGCCACGGCCGCCCGCGCCCCGAAGCGAUUCAUGAGAUCACAACGCUUGGAGACGGACAGCUCAGCCGGAGACUUUGAGGCGCGCGGGGACCCCGCGACGCCCAAGACCAAGCGAGGCUUGAGUGUGCAUUUGACGCUCGAACA
Molecule: unclassified non-coding RNA, 200 nt
Filed under: Sphaerulina sp.
Lineage: Eukaryota; Fungi; Ascomycota; Dothideomycetes; Mycosphaerellales; Mycosphaerellaceae
Description: partial internal transcribed spacer 2
Source: RNAcentral